AAUUAUCAACCCUUGUUAACUUUUUAGUUAGUAAGUGGAUUGGAAGUGGGGGCAUGUUGGUUUCUUCAUUGAAAUGAACUCCCCUGAAAUGCAUUAGCUGGUUGCCUUGUGCAAACAUGUCUAUUGGUGUGAUAAUUAUCUACGCCGUGGGCUAUUUGCCGUUUAUAGCACUGCUUAUAAUCGUCUGUUCAUUCAGACAAUACAUGACA
This 209-nucleotide unclassified non-coding RNA is filed under the name uncultured Hypholoma. RNAcentral describes it as "sequence contains ITS2". Lineage: Eukaryota; Fungi; Basidiomycota; Agaricomycetes; Agaricales; Strophariaceae. The record is from RNAcentral.